CCUACGGGAGGCUGCAGUAGGGAAUCUUCCACAAUGAGCGAAAGCCUGAUGGAGCAACGCCGCGUGGGUGAAGAAGGUCUUCGGAUCGUACAACCCUGUUGUUAGAGAAGAUCGUUCGUGAGAGUAACUGUUCACGUUUCGACGGUAUCUAACCAGAAAGCCACGGCUAACUACGUGCCAGCAGCCGCGGUAAUACGUAGGUGGCAAGCGUUAUCCGGAUUUAUUGGGCGUAAAGGGAACGCAGGCGGUCUUUUAAGUCUGAUGUGAAAGCCUUCGGCUUAACCGGAGUAGUGCAUUGGAUACUAGGAGACUAGAGUGAAGAAGAGGAGAGUGGAAGUCCAUGUGUAGCGGUGAAAUGCGUAGAUAUAUGGAAGAACACCAGUGGCGAAAGCGGCUCUCUGGUCUGUAACUGACGCUGAGGUUCGAAAGCGUGGGUAGCAAACAGGAUUAGAUACCCGUGUAGUC
Molecule: ribosomal RNA, 465 nt
Filed under: uncultured bacterium
Lineage: Bacteria
Description: partial 16S ribosomal RNA
Rfam family: Bacterial small subunit ribosomal RNA
Source: RNAcentral